UACGUAGGGGGCUAGCGUUGUCCGGAAUCAUUGGGCGUAAAGCGCGUGUAGGCGGUCCGGUAAGUCCGCUGUGAAAGCCAGGGGCUCAACCCUUGGAUGCCGGUGGAUACUGUCGGGCUUGAGUACGGAAGAGGCGAGUGGAAUUCCUGGUGUAGCGGUGAAAUGCGCAGAUAUCAGGAGGAACACCGGUGGUGUAGACGGCUCUCUGGACCGUAACUGACGCUGAGACACGAAAGCGUGGGUAGCAAACAGG
Molecule: ribosomal RNA, 253 nt
Filed under: uncultured bacterium
Lineage: Bacteria
Description: partial 16S ribosomal RNA
Rfam family: Bacterial small subunit ribosomal RNA
Source: RNAcentral